Mus pahari (shrew mouse) is the source of this 360-nucleotide long non-coding RNA. RefSeq lists it as uncharacterized. The transcript is spliced from 3 exons. Lineage: Eukaryota; Metazoa; Chordata; Mammalia; Rodentia; Muridae. The record is from RefSeq and is a predicted model, not a curated record.
AUGCUGCAGGUGGCAAGAAGAGGUGGCUGCUUUUAGAGACCUGAGAAAGGAGGACAGGAUCUUCAAGAGUGAUGCUACAUGAGGAGAGGGAAAAUGAUGCUUCUGACUCAGAACCGUUCACCGAAGCUAUCACCUUGUUUCUUUAAGACACAUUCUCGGAUUGACCUGGAAGUCAUCAAGCAGGCCCACUGGCUGGCCGUUUCAGUCCAGCUCAGGGAGCUGUGUGUCCAUGAUGAGGCAGAGGAUCACCACAAGCAACAUGUUGCUGAAGAAAGCAGCUUCCUCAUGUCAACAGGAAGGAUAAAGAGAAGACAAGGGGGAUGAAACAGCCCACAGCUUCCCAGAGGCAUGCCCACACUG